Molecule: ribosomal RNA, 253 nt
Filed under: uncultured bacterium
Lineage: Bacteria
Description: partial 16S ribosomal RNA
Rfam family: Bacterial small subunit ribosomal RNA
Source: RNAcentral
UACGGAGGAUCCAAGCGUUAUCCGGAAUCAUUGGGUUUAAAGGGUCCGUAGGCGGUUUAGUAAGUCAGUGGUGAAAGCCCAUCGCUCAACGGUGGAACGGCCAUUGAUACUGCUAGACUUGAAUUAUUAGGAAGUAACUAGAAUAUGUAGUGUAGCGGUGAAAUGCUUAGGGAUUAUAUGGAAUACCAAUUGCGAAGGCAGGUUACUACUAAUGGAUUGACGCUGAUGGACGAAAGCGUGGGUAGCGAACAGG